RNAcentral lists this ribosomal RNA (1589 nucleotides) under Campylobacter lari. Its description in RNAcentral is "partial 23S ribosomal RNA". It matches the Rfam family "Bacterial large subunit ribosomal RNA", at positions 1 to 1627 of the family's 2925-position model. The record is from RNAcentral. Lineage: Bacteria; Pseudomonadati; Campylobacterota; Epsilonproteobacteria; Campylobacterales; Campylobacteraceae.
AAAAAAGGUAAGCUACUAAGAGCGAAUGGUGGAUGCCUUGACUGGUAAAGGCGAUGAAGGACGUACUAGACUGCGAUAAGCUACGGGGAGCUGUCAAGAAGCUUUGAUCCGUAGAUUUCCGAAUGGGGCAACCCAGUAUAUAGAGAUAUAUACUACCAUAAUGGAGCGAACGAGGGGAAUUGAAACAUCUUAGUACCCUCAGGAAAAGAAAUCAAUAGAGAUUACGUCAGUAGCGGCGAGCGAAAGCGUAAGAGGGCAAACCCAGUGCUUGCACUGGGGGUUGUAGGACUGCAAUGUGCAAUAAGUAAGGUUAGUAGAACACUCUGGAAAGUGUAGCCAUAGAGGGUGAUAGUCCCGUAUACGAAAACCAAACUUUAGCUAGCAGUAUCCUGAGUAGGGCGAAACACGUGGAAUUUUGUCUGAAGCUGGGUCGACCACGAUCCAACCCUAAAUACUAAUACCAGAUCGAUAGUGCACAAGUACCGUGAGGGAAAGGUGAAAAGAACUGAGGUGAUCAGAGUGAAAUAGAACCUGAAACCAUUUGCUUACAAUCAUUCAGAGCACUAUGUAGCAAUACAGUGUGAUGGACUGCCUUUUGCAUAAUGAGCCUGCGAGUUGUGGUGUCUGGCAAGGUUAAGCACACGCGAAGCCGUAGCGAAAGCGAGUCUGAAUAGGGCGCUUAAGUCAGAUGCUGCAGACCCGAAACGAAGUGAUCUAUCCAUGAGCAAGUUGAAGCUAGUGUAAGAACUAGUGGAGGACUGAACCCAUAGGCGUUGAAAAGCCCCGGGAUGACUUGUGGAUAGGGGUGAAAGGCCAAUCAAACUUCGUGAUAGCUGGUUCUCUCCGAAAUAUAUUUAGGUAUAGCGUUGUGUCGUAGUAUAAGGGGGUAGAGCACUGAAUGGGCUAGGGCAUACACCAAUGUACCAAACCCUAUCAAACUCCGAAUACCUUAUAUGUAAUCACAGCAGUCAGGCGGCGAGUGAUAAAAUCCGUCGUCAAGAGGGAAACAACCCAGACUAUCAGCUAAGGUCCCCAAGUCUUACUUAAGUGGAAAACGAUGUGAAGUUACUUAAACAACCAGGAGGUUGGCUUAGAAGCAGCCAUCCUUUAAAGAAAGCGUAAUAGCUCACUGGUCUAGUGAUUUUGCGCGGAAAAUAUAACGGGGCUAAAGUAAGCACCGAAGCUAUAGACUUAGUUUUACUAAGUGGUAGGAGAGCGUUCUAUUUGCGUCGAAGGUAUACCGGUAAGGAGUGCUGGAGCGAAUAGAAGUGAGCAUGCAGGCAUGAGUAGCGAUAAUUAAUGUGAGAAUCAUUAACGCCGUAAACCCAAGGUUUCCUACGCGAUGCUCGUCAUCGUAGGGUUAGUCGGGUCCUAAGUCGAGUCCGAAAGGGGUAGACGAUGGCAAAUUGGUUAAUAUUCCAAUACCAACAUUAGUGUGCGAUGGAAGGACGCUUAGGGCUAAGCAAGCUAGCGGAUGGAAGUGCUAGUCUAAGGAUGUAGGAGCUUAUACAGGCAAAUCCGUAUAAGAAUACUCCGAGAUCUUAAAGGCUCUUUGAAGUCUUCGGAUGGAUAGGAGAAUUGCUGAUGCC